UCUGGGUGUGGUGGCGCACACCUGUAAUCCAAGCUACUUGGGAGGCUGAGGCAGGAGAAUCGCUUGAACCCAGGAGGUACAGGUUGCAGUGAGCUGAGAUCGUGCCACUACACUCCAGCCUGGGUGACAGAGCAAGACUCUGUCUCAA
Gorilla gorilla gorilla (western lowland gorilla) is the source of this 148-nucleotide non-coding RNA. It matches the Rfam family "Metazoan signal recognition particle RNA". From Rfam's summary of the family: The signal recognition particle (SRP) is a universally conserved ribonucleoprotein. It is involved in the co-translational targeting of proteins to membranes. The eukaryotic SRP consists of a 300-nucleotide 7S RNA and six proteins: SRPs 72, 68, 54, 19, 14, and 9. Lineage: Eukaryota; Metazoa; Chordata; Mammalia; Primates; Hominidae. The record is from Rfam.